Molecule: ribosomal RNA, 492 nt
Filed under: uncultured bacterium
Lineage: Bacteria
Description: partial 16S ribosomal RNA
Rfam family: Bacterial small subunit ribosomal RNA
Source: RNAcentral
AGUGAACGCUGGCGGUAGGCCUAACACAUGCAAGUCGAACGGCAGCACAGUAAGAGCUUGCUCUUACGGGUGGCGAGUGACGGACGGGUGAGGAAUACAUCGGAAUCUACUUUUUCGUGGGGGAUAACGUAGGGAAACUUACGCUAAUACCGCAUACGACCUACGGGUGAAAGCAGGGGAUCUUCGGACCUUGCGCGAUUGAAUGAGCCGAUGUCGGAUUAGCUAGUUGGCGGGGUAAAGGCCCACCAAGGCGACAAUCCGUAGCUGGUCUGAGAGGAUGAUCAGCCACACUGGAACUGAGACACGGUCCAGACUCCUACGGGAGGCAGCAGUGGGGAAUAUUGGACAAUGGGCGCAAGCCUGAUCCAGCCAUACCGCGUGGGUGAAGAAGGCCUUCGGGUUGUAAAGCCCUUUUGUUGGGAAAGAAAAGCAGCAGGUUAAUACCCCGCUGUUCUGACGGUACCCAAAGAAUAAGCACCGGCUAACUUCGUG